AACUUGCGCAUGGACCACUAACAAACCAUGCACGGUUUGCAUCCCUAUCCCACAAAAUCCCUCAAAUUCCUUCUCAAAUUUCCACCUUGCACGUGAUCAUAACAGACUCACAAUUCCCUCAUUUUCCUCACACGACUCAUCACACAAACUAAAAAAAAAAACAUUAAAAACAACCGUAUCACUCUCCUCUCCCUCUAUCUCAAGUCCGUUUUACCCAAUUUCUAACGUAGAGACCAAAUAGAGCAGAUAAAUGUAAGAACCCUAAAACGAAAAUCAACAAUUAAACGCUGCUCAAGAGGAAUCUGAGCCCAAGAUGUCGGGGCUUUGAUUCCUCGUGCCUCGGGCUACAUGGUGGUAACGCACAAUGGAAGAAAAAAGCUUACCUAGGAGGCGGCGCGGUGCUCCGUUGCGAGUCGAAUUUGAAGGUAAAGAUGAACUCAGGCCAUGCUUGAGAAGAUCAUCACUUUGACAAUGGCAUUGCAACUAAGUUGAUUCUGGAUUGUUGUCAGCAGGGAUGUUACAAGCUUAGAAUGACAUGGUGAGGGAAGUUGGCAUGAGACUUUUGGCAUGAAGAUGACGAAUGCUUGGAGGCAAAGUGGGAAUCAUGAAGUUUGGUCAUGGAUAUUGAUGGAAUGGAGUUUGGACAUGAAACUUGAUAAUGCAACCUGGGGAUUAGGAUGCUUAUAGGUUUAGAGAAAUGCUACCGGAUGAUACCGUUUAAUACUGGUGGACAUUGGUUGUUGCUCGCAAUCAAUCCUAUCCGAGAAAUUGUGUAUUAUCUUGACUCGUUAGGAAAUGAUUGGACAACAUACCCGGAUAUGAAGGUCCUAAUU
Long non-coding RNA from Lathyrus oleraceus (garden pea), 833 nucleotides. RefSeq lists it as uncharacterized. The record is from RefSeq and is a predicted model, not a curated record. The transcript is spliced from 4 exons. Lineage: Eukaryota; Viridiplantae; Streptophyta; Magnoliopsida; Fabales; Fabaceae.